This 3197-nucleotide long non-coding RNA is filed under the name Sus scrofa (pig). RNAcentral describes it as "lncRNA (ENSSSCG00005023142.1)". Lineage: Eukaryota; Metazoa; Chordata; Mammalia; Artiodactyla; Suidae. The record is from RNAcentral.
GAAAGGUUAAAACAAACGUUUAUUCAACAAAUUAUAUUAAGAAGACAAUCACACAGUGAAACUUCCCUUUGCCAAGUACUAGAGUCACCUCAAAUAAAUACACGCAGUAGGACGUCGUUCCUAAGCUAGCUCGUAGCCACCUGGCCGAGGCCCAUGUCCUGGUGGUGACAGGCAGCAGUGCGGUCGCAACUGGUGAAGGAAGCCGGGUGGCCCAAGAGCAGGUACCUGGCCCCUCUGCCCUCACCCUCGGGCUCGCCAGCUCUCGGGAGCUGUGGGCUGGGAUUCCCGUGAUGGACAGGCCGCAGCCCUGGGACUGCACCUGGCCCUUGCCCUGUGCUUGAUGACACCACCACGCUGGCCCCAGCAGGACCAGUGGCGGCUGGGAAGCCCAUUCUGGGGCUGGAGGUGGCUGCUUGUGAUGGGACCGCUGGCACCGUGAGUUCUGGGGCCAGAUCCUGCUUCUGCCACUUACCAGCUUUGUGCCUGCGGACACGUCUCCGCUUCUUCCUCUGGAACCAGGAGCAAAGAGCAUCCACUUCUGAGGAUUAGUUUGUUUGGGGGAAGGGGGGGGGUGACAGGGGAAAGUGUGCUUCAAGUGCCACCUAGCACCUGGCAAGAAGCAGGUGCCUCACCCGUGGUGGUCCUCCUUGUCCCCCUGCCGCCUUCUGAACAAAGCGGGGACAUGUGGAAAAGCCACUGGCAGCUUCUCCUCGCCCACCGCGGAGGGAGCUCAAGAGGAGGCCUAAGCUGCUACUUCUUCCCGCCCCCAGGUGGAGGCGGGGAGGCUUCCCACCUUCCCGAGUGGAGGCUGUGGCCCUAUCAGUUCCUGGACUUGGGGUGGAAAAGCCUGGUCAUACAUUUGCAAGUGACCCUGGAGCUAACCCCUCCCUCCUUAUCACCGCUGUGCUGUUUCCAAGGCUUCUGGCGAGAGACUUGGGGUUUUCAGAGGGAAAAGAGACGGCAGCAGGGAUACUGUGCUCUGGUCAGUCCUUCUGGGCAGGACAGAGGCUGCCGCCCUUCGUGUUUCUGGGAGAAUUGCGGGCUUCCCCUCCCGACGCGGCCCGAGGAUUCGUGAAGAAAAGCACCAUCCCGGAAAGCAGCAGAGGUGGCUCGAGUCCCAGGGUGAGUGGAGCGCCGCUUCCCCACGAGGCGGGUGGGGCACGUGGGCACCCACCUCUCGGGGAGAGACAGAGGGCUGGGCGCUGCCUACGAUCUACCGCAGCCGCCAGCUUCCCCCAACGCUGCUCUGUAAGCUGCUGUGCUGGCUACGAUCAGUCACCAUUCUGCCCAGACUCAGUCUGGGAUGCGGUGGGGGCCUCUCCAGCUCCCCUGAGUCCAUUCAGGGAGUUUGGCCUUUUCCUGGCGGCCCCACAGCCCUGCCUUGCUCUGUCCAUCCCGGGACGGCAGGGUGGCCUGGGGUGGGGUGGGGCUCCUCCCCCAACCACCACCCUGACUGCCCUCUUGCUCCCUGCAAGGGACCCCACGUGACUGUCUUUGGCCCUCCUAGGUCCAUCAGAGCCACCGGAAUGCUUGCUUCUGAGUCAAGGAGAAAGGUGGUGGGGCGUUGAGUGUUGGAGAUGAUCCCACAGCUGGGGCGUGUCGCAGAGGAAGGACAGAGGUGAGUGCAGACGCCACCCCUCUCUGUUGGUUUUGGACCUGCCCUACCCGUGCAAACAGCAGUAGCAGCAGACACAGGAUCUCGGGGCCCCACACGGCUCCCCGAUUCCCUGGAAACAACCAGCUUAUUUCAGUGGGUACGUGUGAGGUGGAUGCGUCAGCUCUGCCCUAGGUGAGCACCAAUCCCAAGAGGUUCACACGGGGAUUGUCCACCCUGAGCGCCUCCCGGGCCCGGGUGGGUUCCACCAACCAACUGCCUUUUCUUGCCACCUUACCAUGAGGGAGGCACGGGAAGGCCAGCUCCACCGGGGAGGUCCCCGAGGAUGGGCGGAGAGGUGACCACCUUCCCUAAUGCACAGAGGUCAGGAGGUAUUGAAAGGAAGACCAAGGGGCGACCGGGGGGUGGGGGUGGAGGUGGGGGCGCUGAUGCGGGGGUGUGAGGUAUGUUUUGCCCCAGCCCCACUUCUCAGCUAGAGGCCGCCCCUCCUAGCUGCUGGCCCCCAGCCACCGAUGUGCCAUCCUAGGAGCUGCCAGGAGGAAGGACUGUCCCUGGUUGGGCAGGGCUCUCUGGGCCGCCUUGCUGCUCUCCUUGGCCGCCUGCACGCCUGCUGUCGGACACCUAGCAAACCUCGCGCCCAAAGCUCCAGCCAUCCAGUGACCCUCGAGAUGCGAGAUACCAAGUUCUGGGGAGUUGGCACAAACUCCACAGAGUGAGAACCAAGCUUCCAGGAUGCCAGCGCGUCCAAGGGCCACUUGGGGCAGAAAUGUCAGCUCUGGCCCCAGUUUGGUCACCCGGGCCAGACAGACUUCAAACAACUGUUCCUGUGCAGAGGCCACCAAGACACAGCUGGUGCUGAGAAGCUGGGUGGCUGUGUGUCCGUGUCCCUGGGCACCGGCUCACAGAGCCUCUUUACCGGCAGGCCUGGUCACCGGGACAGGUGCAGGGCUGGGCAGUUGGAGCUGUUGUUGGCACGUGGGCACCGCAGAGAUGAGCCCUUUGUGGGGAUGAGGGUGUGAGGUGAGUGAGCACAGCAUCCUGGCAGCAAAAGUCACCUGCAGGCAGGCACCCGGCCACUCGCCUUUAUCGCCCAGAAGGCAAGUCCUCUCUGGGCUGGUGGCUGGGGCAUGGCUGCCCCCUGACCUCAGGGUGUCCAGUGUAUAAACAGAGUGACAAAUCGGAGGAUGUCCACAGCGGACAGGGGGCUAGGCUGUGCUUCCUCAGGGUCCCUGUGAAAUUCUCUGGCACUUAAUGCCAUGGGCGUGAGGGGCCUGUUCCACAUGUCUGGGUCUCCUCAGGGUCUCCCGGGAGGAAAGCAAUGGCUUAGUGGUGGCCUCAGUAAGGAGUGCCGGGAGUCGGUGGCGUCACUGGGCGGCCAGAACAACUGUCCAGGGCCCUCGGGGUGACUCCCGUGGUGCGCAGGGUUGUUGGUGGGACAACGGGUCAUCACACAGACAUGGCAGGAGCCGCUGGUCACUACAGCACACACAGAUUAGUUGAGAUUACGAACAGCAUCCCCAGGGAGGCGGGGCGUCGUGUCAGGCAAGCCGAUGACCGAGGAGGGAACAGCUCAGCCGCUCGG